Long non-coding RNA from Oncorhynchus tshawytscha (Chinook salmon), 1127 nucleotides. RefSeq lists it as uncharacterized. The transcript has 2 exons. NCBI's taxonomy places the organism in Eukaryota, Metazoa, Chordata, Actinopteri, Salmoniformes, Salmonidae. The record is from RefSeq and is a predicted model, not a curated record.
CAAUGUAUUUGGACCGGGCCUGUAUGUUGAACAAUAACUAACCAGAACCUGAUAAUUUGGCGCCCUCUUGCUGUAGAGACAAAAUAUGACUACAAUAGUGAAGUAUUCUGACUCAUGUAGGUGGUCUUUGCAGGCCCCCGGUGUCCGGUCUGGAGUGUGAAGUCACAAGCUCUGCUGAUCGGCUACUGCGUAGCAACCCAGCGGUGCCAAAAGCACUGGUCUGCCCUAGAAAGCCUAUGUAAAUUACAAUCGUCAGAACGGCCAAAGUUGUUGUGAUUCUACCAACAACGACCAGAAACUGCCAUGUGGGGAAUCACUGGGACUGUAAUGAAGUGCUAUUUCCUAUGCAAAUGACCAGCUUACUGCUAUUGCAUUGCUAUAACGGAGACAACACAUAGCAACGUAUUGACAACACAUAGCAACGUAUUGACAACACAUAGCAACGUAUUGACAACACAUAGCAACGUAUUUUCACAGUAAAACAUGUUAGGGCACACACAGAAUAUCUCUCACACACACACUCACUUAAAUCAUCCACAACACUGUCAAAACAGGAUACAUCCUAGCCACAGGUGCUAGCCGUCAGUUCGGCCACAACAUCUUGCCAAGACAAGAACGCACACACAUACACACACUCAUUGCGAGGACACCAAGAUAAGAACGCACACACAUUACACACACUCACUGCGAGGACACACAGACUUGACUUGUGAAGACAGGGACGCACACACAUACCCACACUCAUUGCGAGGACACCAAGAUAAGAACGCACACACAUUACACACACUCACUGCGAGGACACACAGACUUGACUUGCCAAGACAGGAACGCACACACAUACACACACUCAUUCCCUCUCCUGGGGAUGGGUUCCAAAGACAAAGAACUCUUCCAACUGCCAAUGGGACGCCGACACCAGUCUGGAGGGAACUGCCAAUCAACUACCAGCAACCUACCAGAGGCCUGAUCUACCAGAAUCUACCUACGUCAGACCCAUGAAUAAAAUGACUGUACACAAUGUAUCGGGGCUCUUUUCUGAAGGUUCCCUAUGAGCUAGACGAACGAGAGUCCGUGCACGCUUUGCCAGAUAUCUAUACACUACAAAAAUAAACUGCCUUUACUAUACC